Long non-coding RNA from Triticum dicoccoides, 928 nucleotides. RefSeq lists it as uncharacterized. The transcript is spliced from 2 exons. Lineage: Eukaryota; Viridiplantae; Streptophyta; Magnoliopsida; Poales; Poaceae. The record is from RefSeq and is a predicted model, not a curated record.
GAAGAAGAUCAAGAGAAAGAGAGAGAUAUAGAUAAAGAAAUUGAUCCAAGUGCAUUGCUAAUGGAUACCACAAUGUUUGAUGAAACAAACCCAAUAAUGGAGUGGCUGAAUGAGGAUGUAGAGGAUCCGAUUGUGGAUGGAGCUGAUGCAGCUAGUGCUGUUUUUGAGCAAAUAAGGCGCCUCAACUCAAGCAGGAAGGCGUCUUAUGUUGGUUCAAAGGGUAAUAACAAGAAAAGAAAGAGGAAUGAUGAUGAUGAGAAUGAGUUUCUUGAAACUGAGAGUGAGGAUGAUGGAGAAGAGAAUGAAUAUGUUGAUAAUGACAUCGAGGAUGAUGAUGGGGUGAGUGAGGAUGAUGAGGAUGGUGAACAAGAUCAGCUAGAGACACAAAUGCAACUUGAAGAAGAGACACAAGUACAAGUUCAAAAGGAGGCACCAACAAGCACUGGCCAUUUGGAGACUAGAUCUGGACGACUUAUUAGGAAGAAGACCAAGAACGUCAACAAUCUCUACUCGUAAAUUUGAAAUGGCACGUGAGCAAAGGAUAUCAAGAAGCUUUUGGAUGUUGGGAAGCUUGGAGCUGAUGCUUCAAAUAAGCUGAUGGUUGUCUUUUGGAGAUGUUUCUAUGUUUAAUGCUUUAAAGUCUUUUGGUUGUACUGGACUAUUUAAACUUUGAACUAUGCUAUGAUGGUUGAACUGAUGCUGGACGGUUAAGGGUUUAUGUCAGAGGCAACUUUAUAACUAAUGUGUGCCUGUUAUGUUGGACUGUUAAGGGUUAUGUUGGAGGCAAUUUUAUAACUAAUGUGUGUCUGCUAUGUUGGAUUGUUAACUGUUAUGUUGGAGGCAACAUUAUAGCUAACGUGUGCCUGUUAUGUUGGGCAGAUUCAAUUUUCUUAAUCCCUAGAGCUUAUUUGCUAAAGUUUAUAAGAUC